RNAcentral lists this unclassified non-coding RNA (240 nucleotides) under soil metagenome. RNAcentral's name for it is "partial contains 5.8S ribosomal RNA, internal transcribed spacer 2, and large subunit ribosomal RNA". The record is from RNAcentral.
AACAUCGCGCACCUGCGGGAACCUGCGGAGGGAUCAUUACCGAGUGAGGGCCCUCUGGGUCCAACCUCCCACCCGUGUUUAUCGUACCUUGUUGCUUCGGCGGGCCCGCCGCAAGGCCGCCGGGGGGCGUCUGUCCCCGGGCCCGCGCCCGCCGAAGACACCUGUGAACGCUGUAUGAAGAUUGCAGUCUGAGCGAAAAGCUAAAUCGUUAAAACUUUUAACAAUGGAUCUCAGAUCGGA